Molecule: long non-coding RNA, 1005 nt
Organism: Gasterosteus aculeatus aculeatus (three-spined stickleback)
Lineage: Eukaryota; Metazoa; Chordata; Actinopteri; Perciformes; Gasterosteidae
Source: Ensembl
CAACCAGACUGACUUUAAAUAGUUCAUCAUGUUCAACACAUGUAACUUUAUCAAUAUGUGUGAAUCUUUAACUGAUGUUCAUUAAAUACACUUGUUUUCUAUUUUCUUAAGACACCGGGAACAGAGAGAGGACUGUAGCACAAAGACUGGAAAUGAGGGAACUUGUUAGAAUAGCUCCAUCAAAGUCCUGCUUCCUGUCCAACUGUACUCCCACAGUAUUGGCAGAACAUAAAUAAGUGUUAACAUAUUAUUCCAAGAUGCCUUAUUAAAUGUCCUAAUAGAAAUGAAGUCUACAUUACCUUCUUUAUUGUUGUUUGUUAUAAAAACAGUGUAUACAUUAUUUUGAAUGAACUGAGCGUAUGAAUGUAUUUGUUUCAGAUGUGAUAGUAGGUCUCUGAAGGGCGUAACCAUGGUUCACACAUUGUUACAUAAACACAAUCCUCUGUGAAAUUGCCGAAAAAACAGAUUUGUGAUUGAUGUUUUACGACAGUUCUCGUUCUAACAUGUCAAAUCGCAACAACGUGGUCCUCAGACAAGUCACUUCAGCAUUUAAGUACCUCUUCUUCUAAUUUUACAUCACUGCUUCUACAGAUGUUCAAAUUAUUACCAAACCACAUGAAAAUCAUUUAUUAUUUGAUUUAACAGUCUCCCCUGGUUGCAGACUUUGUGCUAAGCUAACAGUCUCCCCUGGUUGCAGCUUUAGCGCUAAGCUAACAGUCUACCCUGCUUGCAGUCUUUGUGCUGAGCUAAAAGUCUCCCCUGCUUGCAGCCUUUGUGCUAAGCUAACAGUUUCUGCUCGUUGCAGCCUUUCCUUUGUGCUAACAGUCUCCCCUCGUUGCAGCCUUUGUGCUAAGCUAACAGUUUGAGCUAAUAGAGAACAAUACAAUUAAAGAGUUGUCCGGCUGUUUCUCUUAGUUUUCUGUCUUUAUAAAGUGCCAUCGUUUGAUUUGAUGUUUGACUAAUGAUCAUGUGAUGAAGAGGAGGAGGAUACUGUUAGCCCUCAAC